This is a non-coding RNA of Cynocephalus volans (Philippine flying lemur), 504 nucleotides long. Lineage: Eukaryota; Metazoa; Chordata; Mammalia; Dermoptera; Cynocephalidae. The record is from the annotation of a RefSeq genome assembly.
AUGAGACUGUGGGGUCUACUUCUUUGCCUGGUGACUGCUCCCGAAGGUGUCCUCUCCAAGGUGCAGCUGCAGGAGUCGGGCCCAGGACUGGUGAAGCCCUCGCAGACCCUCUCCGUCACGUUCACCAUCUCUGGUUACUCCAUCACCAGUGGUUAUGGUUGGCACUGGAUCCGCCAGCCCAUGGGGAAGAGCUUUGAGUGGAUGGGACGCAUAAUUUAUACUGGAAGCACAGGUUAUAACCCAUCGCUCAAGAGCUGCACCUGCAUCACCAGAGACACAUCCAAGAACCAGUUCUCCCUGCAGCUGAGCUCUGUGACCUACGAGGACACAGGCUUGUAUUACUGUGCGAGAGACACACUGACAGGAAGUCAGCGUGACCCAGACACAAACCUCCCUGCAGGAUACAGGAGGGGUCUGGGCUGCAGGGGCCACUCAAGGCCCACCCAGCUCCUGUGCCCCAUGGAGCAGGUGCAGAGGGGAUGGGAGGUUCCUCUUGGGAUCUGA